Molecule: long non-coding RNA, 594 nt
Organism: Oncorhynchus tshawytscha (Chinook salmon)
Lineage: Eukaryota; Metazoa; Chordata; Actinopteri; Salmoniformes; Salmonidae
Exons: 3
Source: RefSeq, a predicted model, not a curated record
AAUACAGCAGACUAUGAUGUCAACAUUAUAUAAUAAUAUGAUUGUGGUAUGUUGUCAUACAGUGUUUGUGUGAUGAAAUGUGACUUUGUCAAGUAGCCAGUGUUGUGUUUCCCCACUCUAUCUGAUUCAUUUCCAGUUUGUAGUGUUGUUGGUAGCCCAACAUUAUUGAGGACAUUAUUAUUCGGAUGGUGCAGUAAUGUUGAGAUGCCAGUAGGAGGAGCUCUAGUCUAGAACACUGGAACCUUCAGUACCACUUUGAUGCAGCUGAUGGAGGAGUGUAAAUCGAAUGUGUUUGUAGACGUCAUGCAUAUUAAUGACUUAAAGGAAGGAGAGGACAGUUUUGCAUCAGCUACUUGUGUUCUGACUACUAUAAAUAUGUAUCAACCACAGAACUGACAAUUACUAACAGUUCCCACACACUACCAGUAAGUUGACUCACUGUACAAGACCUCUCCCCUUCACUUCACUCUACUGCAGGGUGGGAGAUGCAACAAUGGUCUUGAGAACAGCAGGAAGUGUGUUGGUGGUCUUUCUCUGGUCUGUAACAGACUGCAGGGUGGAAGAUGCAACAAUGGUCUUGAGAACAGCAGGAAG